This 253-nucleotide ribosomal RNA is filed under the name uncultured bacterium. Its description in RNAcentral is "partial 16S ribosomal RNA". It matches the Rfam family "Bacterial small subunit ribosomal RNA", at positions 524 to 776 of the family's 1533-position model. The record is from RNAcentral.
UACGGGGGGGGCAAGCGUUGUUCGGAAUUACUGGGCGUAAAGGGCGCGUAGGCGGCGUGACUAGUCACUUGUGAAAUCUCCGGGCUUAACUCGGAACGGUCAAGUGAUACUGUCGUGCUAGAGUACAGAAGGGGCAACUGGAAUUCUCGGUGUAGCGGUGAAAUGCGUAGAUAUCGAGAGGAACACCUGCGGCGAAGGCGGGUUGCUGGGCUGAUACUGACGCUGAUGCGCGAAAGCCAGGGGAGCGAACGGG